UUUUCUUUUUUUAGAA
RNAcentral lists this transfer RNA (16 nucleotides) under Coptopsylla lamellifer ardua. Its description in RNAcentral is "partial tRNA-Leu". The record is from RNAcentral. Lineage: Eukaryota; Metazoa; Arthropoda; Insecta; Siphonaptera; Coptopsyllidae.